RNAcentral lists this ribosomal RNA (278 nucleotides) under uncultured Synergistaceae bacterium. RNAcentral describes it as "partial 16S ribosomal RNA". It matches the Rfam family "Bacterial small subunit ribosomal RNA", at positions 1107 to 1382 of the family's 1533-position model. Lineage: Bacteria; Thermotogati; Synergistota; Synergistia; Synergistales; Synergistaceae. The record is from RNAcentral.
GCUGCCAGUUGCCAACGGGUGAAGCCGGGCACUCUGGCGGGACUGCCAUCGACAAGAUGGAGGAAGGUGGGGACGACGUCAAGUCAUCAUGGCCCUUAUGUCCAGGGCGGACACACGUGCUACAAUGGCCGGCACAGCGGGAAGCGAGGCAGUGAUGCCAAGCGGAUCCCUUAAAGCCGGUCUCAGUUCGGAUUGAAGUCUGCAACUCGACUUCAUGAAGCUGGAAUCGCUAGUAAUCGCAGAUCAGCCAAGCUGCGGUGAAUACGUUCCCGGGCCUU